CAGCUUUCUACCAUGUGAGGAUACAAUGAGAAAACAGCUGUCUGCAACCCGAAAGAAGGCCCUUACCAGGACAUGAUCAUGCCAGCACCCUGAUGUCUGACUUCCAGCCUCUAGAACUACUUCAAAUUCUUAGACUAUAACAUCUGGACGUGAUUUGACAUGAAGUCCUGAACAUAGCCCAGCUGGAUAAGAAAUGCAUCGAAGAUAUUAAUCAGCUCAUAGCACAGAGGUUGUGGAUUUUCAAACCAAUCCCCUGUGGAUAACAACUGUCGCAGAGUAAGACCAUUUAAAGGGACCAAAAAUGGAUGAACAUACUUGGCACUAUGAACUAAAAGAUCUUUGGCUAAAGAAGAGAUGAAGACUCAUUCAACUCCUACAAGUGAAUUAAGGAGCUCUGAGAAGGCAAAGCCAGCCCAGGAGGGUGGACACACUAAGAACAAUGUGCCUUGUCCUGAUACACAGUUGUGGUAUAGGUAACAAAAUCUGAGUAUCCAACCUAAGAUGUUACCCCUCACCUCACCAGAAUACCUCCAAUCCCUUCCCUGGAAACACAGAAUAAAUUCCUAUAGAAAGUUAUAAAGCAGAAAAACAAGGUAUCUUUUGUGGAGUAAAGAAUGAUUAUGGAGGAAAAACACCAUUAACUGUCACAGAAAUAAUUGUGUCAUUCAGCAGAAUGGUAGCUCUAAGGAAGACAGCAGCAAUACUCAAGGUACAGCCAUUCUUCUGGAACAAGUCCCACCAAUCUGAAGCUGGAGUCAAUGGUGGUGACAGUGGUGACAUUGCAGAAAAGUAAGAAAGUUGAGGGAGGGAUUCAGGAGAAACAUGGCUGUUGGAAUUAGACACUCAAGAUCUAAACUAAAUGGGAUUAGUAAUGAUAAAAGGAUAAAUGGUUGAUUUCUCCCAUCACCACUUUGCCUGGAAAUAUUGAAAAGCAGGAACCCAGUGGUAUGGUUGACUUCUCUAGAGCUACUGACAAUAAAAUGGGCUGCAACAACCACCACACACACACACACAAAAAAAUCCCAGUGGGAUUCUUGUUAAUAGGGACAUUUAGGAAAGGGUGGGAUGCUCACUCACCCAGGUUAUUGCAGAAAACAUCCUGCUUUGACUGAGAAAUUGUGGAGGAUGCCUAAGGUCACUUCUGACAUCUAUGGAACUGUAAAGUCUGUUUCCCGUGGGGUAUAGUUUUGUCAUAUUGUGACUAUGUAUUUGUGUAUGUAUUGUGUAUGUAUAUUUGUCUUCCUAUUAGCCAAUGCUCUGUCAACCCACGGUUGUUUUGAGAAUCAAAGAGAUAACAUGCAGGAGGAUGAAAUGGGAACAGAUUAACACAAGAUGCUCACACUGCCUAGUAAUCAUAGCUUUCUCCCUAUUUCUGUCCCUGUCAUCGGGCACAGCUAUUCUAUUAAAUAGCUG
This 1413-nucleotide long non-coding RNA is filed under the name Homo sapiens (human). Its description in RNAcentral is "HSALNT0173532". The record is from RNAcentral. Lineage: Eukaryota; Metazoa; Chordata; Mammalia; Primates; Hominidae.